UGGCAUGUUUGCCCACCUGAAGCCCUCCUCCAUCUCCUCCGCAGCUCUGGAUCUGGUGGUGGGUGUGCUGUACACAGUGGUGCCACCAACAGUGAACCCCCUCAUCUACAGCAUGCGGAACAAGGAGCUCAAGGAGGCGCUGAAGAAACUGAUUCAAGUGGUCCUGGUUCAGCAGCAAUAAGCUGCCCAUCCCUCUUCACAAGUGCUUUCUCAUUUAAUUCAGACAACUCAUGCCUUGGGCAUUCUCACUGGAUAAUCACGUUUGUACAAAAGUGUUUGACUUCAUCCCACUUCUCCAGCAGCACGAACUUCAUCUGUCUGACUCAGAGGCCUUCUGUGAAUGUGUCUAUCACUGUGUCAGAGCUGGCCUGUCUCUAAUAAAAGGGGAUUUCCUCAGUGCAGUGCUUGGAAGUUGGUUUCUUCUUCCACAGCUGGAGCCAAGAAUGUGCUCCAGGACUUUCCCCCUAGAAGGGACUGUUGCUUUUCCAAGGCUCUCCAUGGGCUGAAGGUGAUGAGCUCAUGGGAUGACGUGUUAGGGAAUGGGGGCUGGAUUCAGCUGUCACUUGUGGGUGCCCAGUGCUCCUGGAGGUGCUGAACGGUCAAGCGGUAUCUGCCUGGCACUGUCUCCCAUAUGACAGGGCUGGUGGCAGAUGCCUGCAGUGCAGACCCUGCAGGCAGAUGGAAGGGAGCCUGGAGAGUGGUUCAUGUCACCUUCAAUGGGCUGCAUCUAGGGACACUCCUGAACACAGCCUGAGCCAUUUGAAAUGCCCUGUGGUUGCUCAGAGCAUCAUCCACAGCCACAGAUCCCUUGGUAGGGUGUUGUCAGGUGCAAUGAUGCCUGUCCAGCUGGGUCUGCUUCUCACCCUGACCACCACAUCCAGUGUGGAGCCACACCAUGGCGCCAGGGCACCACAGCCUGCUCACUCUGCACAGCAGCACCACCAGCUCAAGGCCCUGCAGGGAGCACAGGGGAGGGUGCACUGAGUGCCACUCAGCCACAAGUGACAUCACAACCACAAAUUACACACACGUGACCAGCACUGGCCUAUCAAGCACUGAGCCACAAGUACUGCAGCCACAGGACCAGCACUGGCCUAUCAGGCACAGAGACACAAGUGACAUCACAACCACUAACGGCAGCAACAUGAGCAGCAGUGGCCUAUCAGGCACUGAGCCACAAGUGACAUCACAAACACAAACUGCACACACGUGACCAGCACUGGCCUAUCAGGCACUGAGCCACAGGUGACAUCACAAAAAAAAUUCCACCCACAGGACCAGCACUGGCCUAUCAGGCACUGAGCCACAAAUGACCUCACAACCACAAACUGCACUCACAUGACAAGCACUGGCCUGUCAGGCACUGAGCCACAAGUGACCUCACAACCACAAACUGCACCCACAUAACCAGAACUGGCCUAUCAGGCACUCAGCCACAAGUGACAUCACAACCACAAACUCCACCCACAGGAACAGCACUGGCCUAUCAGACACUGAGCCACAAGUGACCUCACAAACACAAACUGCACCCACAUAACCAGCACUGGCCUAUCAGGCACUCAGCCACAAGUGACAUCACAACCACAAACUCCACCCACAGGAACAGCACUGGCCUAUCAGGCACUGAGCCACAAGUGACCUCACAACUACAAACUGCAGCCAUGGGCCUAGCACUGACCUAUCAGGCACUGAGCCACAAGUGACAUCAAAACCACAAACACUAAACAUGUGACCAGCACUGGCCUAUCAGGCACUGAGCC
This 1760-nucleotide long non-coding RNA is filed under the name Apteryx haastii (Great spotted kiwi). RNAcentral describes it as "lncRNA (ENSAHAG00000013524.1)". The record is from RNAcentral. Lineage: Eukaryota; Metazoa; Chordata; Aves; Apterygiformes; Apterygidae.